AUUCCCCCUGCUUUUAGGGCGAUACCUGCAAAAAUACGUUAGACGCCUCCGACGCUCAAUUUAGUAAUCAUGUGAAAGGGAAAAUGCAAUGCAUGACUUAGAUCAAUAUGGAGUCAAGAAUCCCGAGUUCACUACGAAUUCAGAAGAAGGACUCUUUCUCUAAAGGUUUUGUGAAGAUGUCGGCCAAUUGAUCUUUGGUUUC
Molecule: long non-coding RNA, 202 nt
Filed under: Nicotiana benthamiana
Lineage: Eukaryota; Viridiplantae; Streptophyta; Magnoliopsida; Solanales; Solanaceae
Description: long non-coding RNA (NBEN_LNC020624)
Source: RNAcentral